CAGGUAUCCAGUUUCAUCGGAGAAACAUAUUCACGAGGACGACCUCUUUUCCUAUCCUGUCUGGUGGAUUCAUCUUCUCAACGGAUGGAUGCUUGGCCGUAUUUCCCAGGCACAAAGUAAGAAAUUCACCUCGAGAUAUUUACGGCGAUGGUUGGGAUCGUUUGUCCGCUUAUCCUGCAAUAUCAAUAUGUUGUCCGCCUCCUGGGAGGCUUUUGCUCCGCCGAAGAUGGAACUGGUAGACAAUUCUUCCAUCGCUUCCUGAUGAAAAAAAAAAACCAAAAGUAUGAGCCAAACUAUUUGGUUUCAAGUUAACCAAAAGGGAAGAAAACACAAGAGAAUAGAGAGAGAGAAAAAGGGGCGAUAGGUGGCACAACAACAAGACACACAAUCACGUCAUCGCCCCAUCAGGUAGCGGUAUUGUUUUCAUUUUAUCAAAGAAGAAGGGAGGAGGAAACAGGCCAGCCAGCCAGCCAGCAACCCAAACUCGAAACCAAAAGAAGAACCUUUCUCGGGUGGAUGACUAGAGUGACGUGGACGUUAUUGUCGGUGGC
This is a long non-coding RNA of Daphnia pulex (common water flea), 551 nucleotides long. RefSeq lists it as uncharacterized. The record is from RefSeq and is a predicted model, not a curated record. The transcript has 3 exons. NCBI's taxonomy places the organism in Eukaryota, Metazoa, Arthropoda, Branchiopoda, Diplostraca, Daphniidae.